Molecule: ribosomal RNA, 293 nt
Filed under: uncultured bacterium
Lineage: Bacteria
Description: partial 16S ribosomal RNA
Rfam family: Archaeal small subunit ribosomal RNA
Source: RNAcentral
GUGCCAGCCGCCGCGGUAAUACCGGCAGCUCGAGUGAUGACCGCUGUUAUUGGGCCUAAAGCGUCCGUAGCUGGCCACGCAAGUUCGUCGGGAAAUCCAUCGGCUCAACCGAUGGGCGUCCGGCGAAAACUGCCUGGCUUGGGACCGGAAGGCUCGAGGGGUACGUUCGGGGUAGGAGUGAAAUCCCGUAAUCCUGAACGGACCACCGAUGGCGAAAGCACUUCGAGAGAACGGAUCCGACAGUGAGGGACGAAAGCUGGGGUCUCGAACCGGAUUAGAAACCCCUGUAGUCC